UCCUCCGAUUUCUCCUCUUUCUUCCUUCUUUUCCUUGUUUUUUCUAUCUUCUUUUUCUUCUCCUCCAGAUCUGCAACAUUUUCAUGCCUAGUUUGUUUUUGAGCAUAGUGGAUCGGCUGGCUUUCUUCUUCUCUCUAAUGUCUUCGAACCCAAAUCCGAUCCCCAAUUUAAGAAAAAGAUAGAUUGAUAUCAGAUGUGUAGGUUUAUGAAAAUAUUUGCGAGAUCUGGGUUUUGCAGAAUCAUUGUGAGUAGAAAUUGGAGGUGGAGGUGAAAGAGAGCUAUCCUGGUUUCCAGCACACGAAAAAUUUGAAACACGUAUAGUAAGUUUUGGGAUAUGAGUUCGAUCAGUUUGCUAUUGUGAUAGAUGCUUGAUUAGUUACUCUCCGUUGGAAGUUUUGCUUCUUAAUUUCAUCUCAGCUUAGAAGGAGCCAAGAGGACAGGUAUUGAUGUAUGGACUUGCUUUGAUUAUCAGCCUCAGCAAAAGAGAGUUUAAUGUUGGGAAUUUCCAGAGAGUACAACUGCGAAAAGGAAGGAGGAAAACAAAACAGUAGCAGCUACAUUGUUCUUUUCAUAUUCUCUGGUUGUAUUAUGCUUUUCGUUGUUCACCUUGUAUCAUUUCUCACAUAAAUUGGA
Long non-coding RNA from Rosa rugosa (rugosa rose), 633 nucleotides. RefSeq lists it as uncharacterized. The record is from RefSeq and is a predicted model, not a curated record. NCBI's taxonomy places the organism in Eukaryota, Viridiplantae, Streptophyta, Magnoliopsida, Rosales, Rosaceae. The transcript has 3 exons.